ACACAUGAUGAUCAUGAUAUGCUAUAUUACAUUAUCUAAUAAUAGAAGCAACAAACAACUUCUCUCCAUGAUCUUUAACAUUUUCAUUAACUUGGACUUGAUCUAGACGGGAUUGGUUUUUUUUGUACGCCUUAUCCACAGGACUAAAAUGUUUUCAUACUUGCAUUGAACUCCGGUCUUUACCAACAAAACUUCUCCGUAUGAUUGGUCUUCUUACAAUAGGGACAAGGUGGAUACUUUGAUCUUCUAUAUCUUCCACUAUUGUUAUAUUUCUCCUUCUUCUCAUUGCUAUGUCUUCUAUUUGAUUUUUCUUUUGAUUCACCAUCAGAAUGAUAUUUAGACCUUUGAGCAACCACAAGAGCAAUUUCACUUGAAUUGUCUUUCUCUCUAAAAGCUUUUAUUUGCUCCAUAGCUUGAAAAGCAUUGGAUAUUUCAUUCAAUGUGACAUAAUACAUACCCCAAGUAUCUUCUAUUUAAGAUAUUUUUGCAUUAAAUUUUUCUGGAAGUGCCAUCAUCACCUUCUCAACAAUUAUCUAUUCUUCUAAUUUUCACCCAAUAAUCGGAUUAACAGUUUUCAUGAUCCUAUCAAUAUAACCUUUCACCUUUUCAGUCUCUUUCGUCAUUGACAUCUCAAAUUUUUUUCUUAGAUUCAAUAUUUGCAUUUUCCUUGUCUGAUCACUCCCCUGAAAUUCAUGCUUCAACAUAUCCUAAGCUUCUUUGCUAGUUUCACAUGCCAUGAUCCUUAUAAAAAAUUAUUCUUAGAUGGUUACGUUAACGAAAGACAAGCCUUUUGCAACCUGUUCUUUCAAAUUUGCUAAAGUGUUGGGUUUGCUCUCAAAGUCCCUAGAGCACUACCUCUUUCAACAUACCUCCAUAAUCCAAGACCCUUCAAGUAUGUCUUCAUCUUUACUGCCGAAAUUUAGUAAUUCUCACCAUUAAAGAGAGGAUGCAAAAGAGGAGAGCUGAUGGAAUCCAUGUGAACAAAAA
RNAcentral lists this long non-coding RNA (987 nucleotides) under Capsicum annuum. RNAcentral's name for it is "long non-coding RNA (CANN_LNC017627)". The record is from RNAcentral. Lineage: Eukaryota; Viridiplantae; Streptophyta; Magnoliopsida; Solanales; Solanaceae.